This 459-nucleotide ribosomal RNA is filed under the name uncultured bacterium. RNAcentral describes it as "partial 16S ribosomal RNA". It matches the Rfam family "Bacterial small subunit ribosomal RNA", at positions 338 to 795 of the family's 1533-position model. The record is from RNAcentral.
CCUACGGGAGGCUGCAGUGAGGAAUAUUGGUCAAUGGUCGGGAGACUGAACCAGCCAAGCCGCGUGAGGGAGGAAGGUACAGAGUAUCGUAAACCUCUUUUGUCAGGGAACAAAGACUGGGACGCGUCCCCGGAUGAGUGUACCUGAAGAAAAAGCAUCGGCUAACUCCGAUCCAGCAGCCGCGGUAAUACGGAGGAUGCGAGCGUUAUCCGGAGUUAUUGGGUUUAAUGGGUGCGCAGGCGGUCUGUUAAGUCAGCGGUAAAAGGGCGGUGCUCAAAACCGGCCUGCCGUUGAAACUGGUCUUCUUGAGUGAGCGAGAGGUAUGCGGAAUGCGUGGUGUAGCGGUGAAAUGCAUAGAUAUCACGAAGAACUCCGAUGGCGAAGGCAGCAUACCGGCGCUCAACUGACGCUGAGGCACGAAAGCGUGGGGAUCGAACAGGAUUAGAUACCCGAGUAGUC